GAUAAAAUUAUGAUGUAAAAAUUAUACAGCGAAUAAAUUUGUGAUGGGCUAUCAUAAUUUUCGUUUAAAAUAAUAUAAUUUACACUUUCAGCAAGUCAAGUCGUCUAAAAACUAUAUUGGUUGCACAGUGCAGAUGCAUAAAUUGCAGGCAGAAAAGCAGAAAACGCUGUUUGGUUCUUAUCAUUCUACUUCUGCUUAUCAGUGUUUUGUUUAUCUCACCAGUCAACAACACCGAUGGAUGGUGUAUACAGAAAGCUUAUCAGUCUAAACAAAAACUUCAAUGAUCAUGGCGGGAUCGAUUUUCCAUUGUUAUCAUGCACAUUCACAUACCUGGUUUUCCUUUUAAUUUUCUGUAACUCAAUUCAAAGUGAAUUACUAUGUGCCGUGCAGACAUCAUCUACUUUUUUAGUUGAUCUUUCAAAAUUUUUCCAAUCUCUAAUUUUUCGUCUUUUGGUAAUUAAGUAACAGAAUAGUUCUGGACCCUCCCAAUGUCUCAACCCUCAGACCCAGUCAGAAGAUCUCUAACUACAGCUUUAUCGAAGCAAUUAUGUUUCUUACUCACCAACAAGAAAGAUGAUGAAAUUUUCAAAAAAUUCAUCCUCACUCUAGCGUUACAUUUGAAGACAGAGGAAAUCUCCACAUCAUGCUGCACUGCAAUUUUUGAAAAAAGUAAAAAACAACUGUCUCUCAUUCAUAGUGAUGCGGAUAAUGCAAUAAAUGAAUUUGAAACGCUCUUCAGGAAACUGUCGAAGAUUGAUGGCCCUGAUAAACAAGCUGUGCUUGCAUUUCUCCUAAAAUUGAGUGAAUUGAUUGAAGCUGAGCAAGAAGCUAGCCACUCGGACAGUAGUCUGGAUUUUCGAAACAAGGUGCACACGACCCAAAAACGACUGAUGAAGGACCUCCCACACAAUUGGCUGAGUCGGAACUCACCAGCCAUCAACUACCCUUCAACUGCUCCUUUAAGUUUUUCAAGCAGUAAUGUUCAGCCAAUUGCCUCAUCCACUGUCAUUGCUGGCAAGCAGAGCCCACAAGAACCCUGGAAGGUUUCUAACAUAAAAACACAACAUCUUCUAGAAGCAUCCUAUUGCCUGACAGGACAAAGAAAAAAACACCCAUCUCGUUGGACCUAA
RNAcentral lists this long non-coding RNA (1130 nucleotides) under Bemisia tabaci. RNAcentral describes it as "lncRNA ENSSSA2NGG007527". The record is from RNAcentral. Lineage: Eukaryota; Metazoa; Arthropoda; Insecta; Hemiptera; Aleyrodidae.